UGGGGGAUCGUCUAACGGCAGGACGGCGGAUUCUGGCUCCGCUAAUCUAGGUUCGAAUCCUAGUCCCCCAGCCA
RNAcentral lists this transfer RNA (74 nucleotides) under Dissulfurirhabdus thermomarina. RNAcentral's name for it is "tRNA-Gln". It matches the Rfam family "tRNA". From Rfam's summary of the family: Transfer RNA (tRNA) molecules are approximately 80 nucleotides in length. Their secondary structure includes four short double-helical elements and three loops (D, anti-codon, and T loops). Further hydrogen bonds mediate the characteristic L-shaped molecular structure. tRNAs have two regions of fundamental functional importance: the anti-codon, which is responsible for specific mRNA codon recognition, and the 3' end, to which the tRNAs corresponding amino acid is attached (by aminoacyl-tRNA synthetases). tRNAs cope with the degeneracy of the genetic code in two manners: having more than one tRNA (with a specific anti-codon) for a particular amino acid; and 'wobble' base-pairing, i.e. permitting non-standard base-pairing at the 3rd anti-codon position. Lineage: Bacteria; Pseudomonadati; Thermodesulfobacteriota; Dissulfuribacteria; Dissulfuribacterales; Dissulfuribacteraceae. The record is from RNAcentral.